GGAAAGCCUCUGCUCCAUUCGGAAGCCUUGGCAUGUGAUCCCAGAGAGACCAUCAGAGCUGAGUCUCCAACUCCCAUUCUACUCCCACAGAUUGCUUCUCCUUUCCAGAGGCUGUGCCAGUGGCUGAGAAAGAAGACACAUGUGUCCCAAUUGCCAUUGGCAAUUAUCUUCUGAACACCAAGGAACCCAGACUUAGGAAGAGGCUGGUGCUACUGAGGGCACAGGGAAGAACCUAGGGCCACAAAGACAUAGGGAAUCACCAAAUAAGCCAGCCCUGCAGACUGCCCUGCUGUUGGACAGCUGCUAUGUGAACUAACUGUUUGCUCUUAAUUUAAGCUAGGGUGUGGGGGAGUUUUACUUGUUGCUCAGGAUAACCUACUUAAUGUUGUAUUUCCUUUUUCUGAAAAAUUGGACAUUGGUGAAUUCAAUUUCUUUCUUGCUUAUCCUGAAAACAACCUAUGCUUGCUUGCUGUAGCUAAAACCCUAGAAUGGAAAGCAGGAAAGAAAUGAUUUUGAUCUAGUUGCAAUUUAAACCAUAAAUUUGACUUACUACAUGAAACCCAUGCAAUCAAUGCUUCUGAAUAGUAAGUGUGCUACAAAUGGAUAUUAAUAACAAUAAUUAAGAAGAAUAACAGCUAUCAUUGAGGAAUUAUAAUACACCACACAUUGCUUUAAGUACUAUAUGGAUUACUCCAUUUAAUUCCCACAAUACUUGCAUACGAUUACAGAUAUUUUAAUCUCGAUUUCAUAGAGUAGAAGCUGAGACAAGGAAAACUGAAGUUUAUUUUCCUGGGUCACAUGGCAUCGAGUGGUGGGAUUAGGAUUUAAACCGAGAAAGUCUGACUUCAGAGCUCUGCUUCUUCGUGGCUAUUCUAAACCAAGAAAAUAGGAACCAAGAAAGAUGUAACGCCAAAAGGGAAAAUUAAAGAUCUCUUAGAUUUGUUAGGAAAAGAAGACAACUGAUAGAUGAGGUGGAUUUGGGACGAAUGGAUCCAUCAUGAGGCACAAGUAAUCCCUCACAUCUUGUAUGCCCAGGAACACCACUGAGAUUUAAUAAAUCAAUAUAUUCCA
Ictidomys tridecemlineatus (thirteen-lined ground squirrel) is the source of this 1071-nucleotide non-coding RNA. NCBI's taxonomy places the organism in Eukaryota, Metazoa, Chordata, Mammalia, Rodentia, Sciuridae. The record is from RefSeq and is a predicted model, not a curated record.